CUAGAAAGGUCUAAAAUUCCCUUUCACUUUUUUAUAUUGGAUGGUUCCACUGGUGGGUCACUAGAAGGGAGAACGGUCCUUUGGCAGGGUGGCUCCAUGCAGGGAGCUAAGGAAUCAUCCCACUGCCCUCAUCCAGCCAAGGAGCAUCGAAGAGAAGCUGUCCUGACCCCACCUUUCCCAGCCUCUUUGUUCCUGGGGAUAGGACUUUCUCAAAGUCAAUCUCUCCAGGUUGAGACUUGCUCCCCAGCCC
RNAcentral lists this long non-coding RNA (250 nucleotides) under Heterocephalus glaber (naked mole-rat). Its description in RNAcentral is "lncRNA (ENSHGLG00100052520.1)". Lineage: Eukaryota; Metazoa; Chordata; Mammalia; Rodentia; Bathyergidae. The record is from RNAcentral.